This 2484-nucleotide ribosomal RNA is filed under the name human gut metagenome. RNAcentral's name for it is "bacterial LSU rRNA". It matches the Rfam family "Bacterial large subunit ribosomal RNA", at positions 442 to 2925 of the family's 2925-position model. The record is from RNAcentral.
AUCCAGGGAGACCACUCUCUAAGGCUAAAUACUCUCCUAUGACCGAUAGUGAACCAGUACCGUGAGGGAAAGGUGAAAAGCACCCCGAGAGGGGAGUGAAAUAGUACCUGAAACCGUGUGCCUACAAGCAGUCGGAGCACCUUCGUGGUGUGACGGCGUGCCUUUUGUAGAAUGAGCCAGCGAGUUACGGUAUGUUGCGAGGUUAAGCUUGGAAGCGAGCCGCAGCGAAAGCGAGUCUUUAAACGGGCGUUCAGUUGCAUAUCGUAGACGCGAAGCCGGGUGAGCUAUCCAUGGGCAGGCUGAAGCGGGAGUAAGAUCUCGUGGAGGGCCGAACCCACUUCGGUUGAAAACGGAGGGGAUGACCUGUGGAUAGGAGUGAAAGGCUAAUCAAACCCGGAGAUAUCUCGUUCUCCCCGAAAUAGCUUUAGGGCUAGCCUCGAUCGUUUAUUUACGGCGGUAGAGCACUGGAAGGGUGAGGGGGCUUCACCGCUUACUGAACCUUACCAAACUCCGAAUGCCGUAAAUCCAGAGAUCGGGAGUCAGAAUAUGUGGGCUAAGCUGUGUAUUCGAAAGGGAAACAGCCCAGACCGCCUGCUAAGGUCCCUAAAUCCAUGCUAAGUGGCAAAGGAUGUGCGUUUGCCUAGACAACUAGGAUGUUGGCUUAGAAGCAGCCAUUCAUUUAAAGAGUGCGUAACAGCUCACUAGUCGAGUGGACAUGCGCCGACAAUUCACGGGGCUAAGUAUGGUACCGAAGCAGCGGACUGUUUUAACAGUGGUAGGGGAGCGUUCCAUGUGGGUCGAAGCAGAGCGGGUGACCGUCUGUGGACUGCAUGGAAGUGCGAAUGCUGGCAUGAGUAACGAGAGAGACGUGAAAAACGUCUCCGCCGUAAGUCCAAGGUUUCCUGGGCAAGGCUAAUCCCCCCAGGGUCAGUCGGGAGCUAAGGCGAGGCCGCAAGGCGUAGUCGAUGCACAACAGGUAGACAUUCCUGUACCAUCUGAGACUCGUUAUACCAAUGGGGCGACGGAGAAGGAUAGCUGGGCGGGGUUCUGGACGUCCCCGUGAAAGCGCGUAGUCCGGUAGAGUAGGCAAAUCCGCUCUACCUUUAAGGAUGAGGCGUGACGACGAAGCGAAUGCGUGAAGUCAGUGAUUCCAUGCUUCAUAUAAAAACCUCUAGGAAGAAUCUCAGGUGCCCGUACCAAAACCGACACAGGUGGACGGGUAGAGCAUACCAAGGCGAUCGGGAGAACUAUGGUUAAGGAACUCGGCAUACUGACUCCGUAACUUCGGGAGAAGGAGUGCCCCCGCCUGUGAGGUCCCACGCGGACGGAGCGGGAGGGGGUCGCAGCGAAACGGCCCAAGCGACUGUUUACCAAAAACACAGGACUCUGCAAAGCCGCAAGGCGACGUAUAGGGUCUGACGCCUGCCCGGUGCCGGAAGGUCACGCGGAGGAGUUAGCGCAUCGCGCGAAGCCCCGAAGCCAAGCCCCGGUAAACGGCGGCCGUAACUAUAACGGUCCUAAGGUAGCGAAAUUCCUUGUCGGGUAAGUUCCGACCUGCACGAAUGGCGUAACGAUUUGGGCGCUGUCUCAACCAUAGACCCGGUGAAAUUGUAUUAUUCGUGAAGAUGCGAAUUACCCACGGAAGGACGGAAAGACCCCGUGAACCUUUACUACAGCUUGACAUUGUUCACCGGUUCGUCGUGUAGAGGAUAGGUGGGAGACUAUGAAACCUGGGCGCCAGCCUGGGCGGAGUCACCCUUGGAAUACCACCCUCGGCGUAUUGGUGAUCUAACCUGCGACCGUUAUCCGGCGUGGGGACCGUGUCAGGUGGGUAGUUUGACUGGGGCGGUCGCCUCCUAAAAUGUAACGGAGGCGCACGUAAGGUUCGCUCAGGUUGGUUGGCAAUCAACCUUUUGAGUGCAAGAGCAUAAGCGGGCUUGACUGCGAGACCUACAAGUCGAGCAGAGUGGAAACACGGUUCUAGUGAUCCGGCGGCUCAGAGUGGAAUGGCCGUCGCUCAACGGAUAAAAGGUACUCCGGGGAUAACAGGCUGAUCUUGCCCAAGAGUCCACAUCGACGGCAAGGUUUGGCACCUCGAUGUCGGCUCAUCGCAUCCUGGGGCUGAAGUCGGUCCCAAGGGUUGGGCUGUUCGCCCAUUAAAGCGGUACGCGAGCUGGGUUCAGAACGUCGUGAGACAGUUCGGUCCCUAUCCUCCGUGGGCGUAAGAGAAUUGAGGAGAUCUGCCCCUAGUACGAGAGGACCGGGGUGGACGAACCUCUGGUGUACCAGUUGUUGACCAACAGCACCGCUGGUUAGCUACGUUCGGAUCGGAUAACCGCUGAAAGCAUCUAAGCGGGAAGUCGGCUCCAAGAUGAGUUCUCUUUGUGGUAAGGCCCCUUGUAGACUACGAGGUUGAUAGGCUGCAGCUGUAAGGUGUGUGAGCAUUUCAGGCGAGCAGUACUAAUUGGCCGAGCUCUUCUUAUU